RNAcentral lists this ribosomal RNA (1179 nucleotides) under Triticum aestivum (bread wheat). RNAcentral's name for it is "partial small subunit ribosomal RNA". The record is from RNAcentral. Lineage: Eukaryota; Viridiplantae; Streptophyta; Magnoliopsida; Poales; Poaceae.
AUGGCCUCCGACGACAGCAGCUCGAGCCACCCGACGGAGAAGAAGGAGGAGGCCGCCGCCGCCGCCGCCGGUGGAGCUGGCUUCGACGACCUGGAGGACCCGCGGUUCCAGUGCUGCGUAUGCCUGGAGCUUCUCUAUAAACCAGUUGUUAUUGCAUGUGGUCAUAUGUCAUGUUUCUGGUGCGUCCAUAAAGCUAUGCAUUACGCCCGGGAAUCCCAUUGUGCAAUAUGCAGGCAACCUUAUACUCAUUUCCCAAGUAUCUGCCAACUCCUCCAUCACUUGCUUUUAAAGCUUGAACCCGUGGAAUACAAAAAGAGGGAAAUGGAAGUACUAGAGCAAGAGAGGAGCGUGGAUACCUUUUCUCCACAAAUCAUUGAGUUCUUAAACUCCAAGAACAACAAUGGCGAAAAUGGAAAAGAUUGGGGCAACAAGCUUGAAGAUGGCAAAACUGGACCUCCAGGAGAAGCCUCAGUUGAUGACAGUACUAUGAACGAGCAUUCAAUGAAAAUAAAGUUAGAUGAUGUGUCUUGUCCUAUCUGCAAGGAGCUGCUGUAUCAACCUGCUGUUCUUAACUGUGGUCAUGUGUAUUGCAUAUCUUGUUUGCCUUCCGUGGGUGAUGAAGCAUUGAAAUGUCAAGUCUGUGGAGGUCUUCAUCCUGGAGAUUUUCCUAAUGUUUGUUUAGAUCUUGACCACUUUCUGGAAGAAUAUUUUCCAGCAGAAUAUGAAUCAAGACGCAAGAAACUUCAGCUUGAGAAUAGCCAAUGCAAUCCUGAAGGAUCAUCUUCAAGUACUUCAUGCAAGAAGGGAACUUUUGUACAGAAGACUCUAGACUUAUCAAAUGUUCACAUUGGAGUUGGCUGUGACUCAUGUGGGGUCUAUCCGAUACGAGGCAAGCGAUACAAAUGCAAGGAUUGCACAGAGGCAAUUGGAUUCGACCUUUGCGGGGAAUGCUACGACAGCACUUCAAAGCUCCCAGGCCGCUUUAAUCAGCAGCACACACCUGACCACAGGAUGGAACUCGAUAAUUCAUCACUGUUUGACGCGUUCCUGAGAUUCCAAGGGAUACCCGCGGAGGGUCUGCAGCAGCUGGUACAACAAAUGGAGCUCAUUGGUGCUGGUGGCAUGGUGCAGAUAGUGGCUGAUGAUGAAGAGAUGGAGGACAAUCAUGAGGAUGCUUAG